RNAcentral lists this small RNA (2046 nucleotides) under Pongo abelii (Sumatran orangutan). Its description in RNAcentral is "retained intron". The record is from RNAcentral. Lineage: Eukaryota; Metazoa; Chordata; Mammalia; Primates; Hominidae.
UUGCUCACACCGAGUUCUGGAGAACGCCAUCAGCUAGCUGCUUAAAAUUAAACCACAGGUUCCAUUAUGGGUCGACUUGAUGGGAAAGUCAUCAUCCUGACGGCCGCUGCUCAGGGGAUUGGCCAAGCAGCUGCCUUAGCUUUUGCAAGAGAAGGUGCCAAAGUCAUAGCCACAGACAUUAAUGAGUCCAAACUUCAGGAACUGGAAAAGUACCCGGGUAUUCAAACUCGUGUCCUUGAUGUCACAAAGAAGAAACAAAUUGAUCAGUUCGCCAAUGAAGUUGAGAGACUUGAUGUUCUCUUUAAUGUUGCUGGUUUUGUCCAUCAUGGAACUGUCCUGGAUUGUGAGGAGAAAGACUGGGACUUCUCGAUGAAUCUCAAUGUGCGCAGCAUGUACCUGAUGAUCAAGGCAUUCCUUCCUAAAAUGCUUGCUCAGAAAUCUGGCAAUAUUAUCAACAUGUCUUCUGUGGCUUCCAGCGUCAAAGGUGGGUCUGUCUCCUUCUGAGGACUGCGAUGCUCAUACAUGCACAUCAUUAAGAGCUCUGCGUUUGGGAACAGGCAUAGCAGAGAUCAUAAUUUCAAGUAUUGAAAUGAUUUCAAAACUGCUUUUUUCAAAAUUGGUAUUAAGUUCCUUAACCACAGAUCUUUUGCUCUAGAUGUGAGCCAGUGGUAAAAUUAAAUUAAAAUGUGGGGUAUUUUUGCCGUCCCUUUUAUUCUUUCUAAUGGACAUGGAAAUGAACAUCAAACUGGGAGAAAGAAUCAUUUAACAUUUAAUUAAUUUAAAACAGUGUAUUGAGCACCAGUAUGUGCUCUGCCUAUAACAGAAUUCACAGUCCAAAACUAGGAGCAAGGCAGCAAACAUCAUCUUCUCCAGUGUGAUGAUAUAUAACAAAGGUUUGUACAAAGCGCUGUCAAAAUACAGGGAAAUAACUGCCUGUGAGUUUGUGGAAUGCUUCACAAAGACAGUUGAUCUGAGCCAUCAGUGAGAAGUCAAGGUGAAGGACAAGGACAGCAGUGUAAAAUGUGGAUUAUGUCACAAUCUGGCAUAGUUGGAUCUGUGAGUUUAAAACGAAAUAGUUACUGCUGAGAUAACAUUUCUUCUCUUUGCAAGAAUACACAUAUUCAACAUACACAAGAGAGGAAUGUAAAGAAGUGCCUAGGCCUCCUGUUUUAUUGUUUUGUUUUGUUAUUAAUCUUCAUUUUCUUUUGGAAUCUGCCUAAGAGUUAUGGCAACUGAUGAUGAGAAACUAAGACUACCAGUGUUAAGUAAGUUCAGCAUUUCAAUUAAGUCUCAAUUAAGUUGUGCCUAUACUGAUAUUAUUUCCCUAGAUCCAGAAACUGACUCUAUUGAAGGAAAAAAAUCUGAUACCAAUCUUUUCAAAAGGGGAGGAAUGUGAGAGAAAGCAUGAAAAUGGACACUGGAAAAACUUAUUUGUGUUACCUUUCUGAAGGAAAAUACAUUUUUUAUUCCUUCAAUUGUUGAACCUUUCCUCCACCCUCAGGAGUUGUGAACAGAUGUGUGUACAGCACAACCAAGGCAGCUGUGAUUGGCCUCACAAAAUCUGUGGCUGCAGAUUUCAUCCAGCAGGGCAUCAGGUGCAACUGUGUGUGCCCAGGAACGGUUGAUACGCCAUCUCUACAAGAAAGAAUACAAGCCAGAGGAAAUCCUGAAGAGGCACGGAAUGAUUUCCUGAAGAGGCAAAAGACGGGAAGAUUCGCAACUGCAGAAGAAAUAGCCAUGCUCUGCGUGUAUUUGGCUUCUGAUGAAUCUGCUUAUGUAACUGGUAACCCUGUCAUCAUUGAUGGAGGCUGGAGCUUGUGAUUUUAGGAUCUCCAUGGUGGGAAGGAAAGCAGGCCCUUCCUAUCCACAGUGAACCUGGUUAUGAAGAACACUCACCAAUCAUCUCCUUCCUGUUAAUCACAUGUUAAUGAAAAUAAGCCCUUUUUAAUGAUGUCACUGUUUGCAAGAGUCUGAUUCUUUAAGUAUAUUAAUCUCUUUGUAAUCUCUUCUGAAAUCAUUGUAAAGAAAUAAAAAUAUUGAACUCAU